AAAUUGAAGAGUUUGAUCAUGGCUCAGAUUGAACGCUGGCGGCAGGCCUAACACAUGCAAGUCGAACGGUAACAGAAAGCAGCUUGCUGCUUUGCUGACGAGUGGCGGACGGGUGAGUAAUGUCUGGGAAACUGCCUGAUGGAGGGGGAUAACUACUGGAAACGGUGGCUAAUACCGCAUAACGUCGCAAGACCAAAGAGGGGGACCUUCGGGCCUCUUGCCAUCAGAUGUGCCCAGAUGGGAUUAGCUUGUUGGUGAGG
Molecule: ribosomal RNA, 260 nt
Filed under: Salmonella enterica
Lineage: Bacteria; Pseudomonadati; Pseudomonadota; Gammaproteobacteria; Enterobacterales; Enterobacteriaceae
Description: partial 16S ribosomal RNA
Rfam family: Bacterial small subunit ribosomal RNA
Source: RNAcentral